CCUACGGGUGGCAGCAGUGGGGAAUAUUGGACAAUGGGCGAAAGCCUGAUCCAGCCAUGCCGCGUGUGUGAAGAAGGCCUUCGGGUUGUAAAGCACUUUCAGUGGGGAAGAAAGCCUUGGGGCUAAUACCCUCGAGGAAGGACAUCACCCACAGAAGAAGCACCGGCUAACUCCGUGCCAGCAGCCGCGGUAAUACGGAGGGGUGCGAGCGUUAAUCGGAAUUACUGGGCGUAAAGCGCGCGUAGGCGGUCUGAUAAGCCGGUUGUGAAAGCCCGGGCUCAACCUGGGAACGGCAUCCGGAACUGUCAGGCUAGAGUGCAGGAGAGGAAGGUAGAAUUCCCGGUGUAGCGGUGAAAUGCGUAGAGAUCGGGAGGAAUACCAGUGGCGAAGGCGGCCUUCUGGACUGACACUGACGCUGAGGUGCGAAAGCGUGGGUAGCAAACAGGAUUAGAUACCCGUGUAGUC
Molecule: ribosomal RNA, 465 nt
Filed under: Vreelandella stevensii
Lineage: Bacteria; Pseudomonadati; Pseudomonadota; Gammaproteobacteria; Oceanospirillales; Halomonadaceae
Description: partial 16S ribosomal RNA
Rfam family: Bacterial small subunit ribosomal RNA
Source: RNAcentral